Molecule: unclassified non-coding RNA, 296 nt
Filed under: uncultured fungus
Lineage: Eukaryota; Fungi
Description: partial contains small subunit ribosomal RNA, internal transcribed spacer 1, and 5.8S ribosomal RNA
Rfam family: Eukaryotic small subunit ribosomal RNA (bases 1-73)
Source: RNAcentral
CCAAACUUGGUCAUUUAGAGGAAGUAAAAGUCGUAACAAGGUUUCCGUAGGUGAACCUGCGGAAGGAUCAUUACUGAGUGGCUGGAGCUCCCCGCUUGCGGGGGGCCGGUUACCCGACCUUUUGUCAUGUGGGCCGCGCGUCCGGACCUCUCGGGGGCCGGCGCCCUGCCCGCCGCCGGUCGUAUUCUCCAACUCUUGUUGUGUAACGGAUGAAGUCUGACGUGAAAACAAACCAAAAAAAAAGCAAAACUUUCAACAACGGAUCUCUUGGCUCUGGCAUCGAUGAAGAACGCAGC